This 485-nucleotide ribosomal RNA is filed under the name uncultured bacterium. RNAcentral describes it as "partial 16S ribosomal RNA". It matches the Rfam family "Bacterial small subunit ribosomal RNA", at positions 29 to 523 of the family's 1533-position model. The record is from RNAcentral.
AGUGAACGCUGGCGGCGUGCUUAACACAUGCAAGUCGAACGAGAACGGGAUAUAGCUUGCUAUAUUUGUCAGCUAAGUGGCGCACGGGUGAGUAAUGUAUAGAUAACCUGCCCUCUAGAAAGGAAUAACAGUUGGAAACGACUGCUAAUGCCCUAUAUGCCUUUAAUACAUAAGUAUGCAAGGGAAACGCUUUAGUGCUAGAGGAUGGGUCUGUAUGGUAUCAGCUUGUUGGUGAGGUAAUGGCUCACCAAGGCUAUGACGCCUAACUGGUUUGAGAGGAUGAUCAGUCCAGCUGUAACUGAGACACGGUCCAGACUCCUACGGGAGGCAGCAGUGGGGAAUAUUGCACAAUGGACGAAAGUCUGAUGCAGCAACGCCGCGUGGAGGAUGACACAUUUCGGUGCGUAAACUCCUUUUAUAUAGGAAGAUAAUGACGGUACUAUAUGAACAAGCACCGGCUAACUCCGUGCCAGCAGCCGCCGUAA